AUGCUCUCUUGAGCAGCACACAUGCUAAAAUGGAAUGAUACAAAGAAGAUUAGGACAAGAAUGACACAGAAAUUCGUGAAGCAUUCUAUAUUUUU
Molecule: small nuclear RNA, 95 nt
Filed under: Pteropus alecto (black flying fox)
Lineage: Eukaryota; Metazoa; Chordata; Mammalia; Chiroptera; Pteropodidae
Source: RNAcentral